Molecule: ribosomal RNA, 403 nt
Filed under: uncultured bacterium
Lineage: Bacteria
Description: bacterial SSU rRNA
Rfam family: Bacterial small subunit ribosomal RNA
Source: RNAcentral
GGCAGCAGUGGGGAAUAUAGGACAAUGGGCGAAAGCCUGAUCCAGCAAUGCCGCGUGAGUGAUGAAGGCCUUAGGGUUGUAAAGCUCUUUUACCCGAGAUGAUAAUGACAGUAUCGGGAGAAUAAGCUCCGGCUAACUCCGUGCCAGCAGCCGCGGUAAUACGGAGGGAGCUAGCGUUGUUCGGAAUUACUGGGCGUAAAGCGCACGUAGGCGGCUUUUUAAGUCAGGGGUGAAAUCCCGGGGCUCAACCCCGGAACUGCCCUUGAAACUGGGAAGCUAGAAUCUUGGAGAGGCGAGUGGAAUUCCGAGUGUAGAGGUGAAAUUCGUAGAUAUUCGGAAGAACACCAGUGGCGAAGGCGACUCGCUGGACAAGUGUUGACGCUGAGGUGCGAAAGCGUGGGGA